RNAcentral lists this long non-coding RNA (211 nucleotides) under Lathyrus oleraceus (garden pea). Its description in RNAcentral is "Pisum sativum (pea) long non-coding RNA (PSAT_LNC009595)". Lineage: Eukaryota; Viridiplantae; Streptophyta; Magnoliopsida; Fabales; Fabaceae. The record is from RNAcentral.
UUGUGAGUAACCGGGCUGAGAAUGUUAUUAGGGGUUAGAUGUUGAUCCUUCUUGUGUGUAACUUGCCUGGCGUGGGUCGUAUAGGUACAUAUCUUCAUCGAUGAAUUGAAAACCAACUGAUUUGUACCAAUCCAUAUAAGUACGACUUGGUUUUACCUCAUUUGACAUGACUGCGUCAGUUAAGACAUGGUCAUGACGGUGCUUCCAUUUG